Molecule: ribosomal RNA, 195 nt
Filed under: uncultured bacterium
Lineage: Bacteria
Description: partial 16S ribosomal RNA
Rfam family: Bacterial small subunit ribosomal RNA
Source: RNAcentral
CCUACGGGAGGCAGCAGUAGGGAAUCUUCGGCAAUGGACGAAAGUCUGACCGAGCAACGCCGCGUGAGUGAAGAAGGUUUUCGGAUCGUAAAACUCUGUUGCUAGAGAAGAAUGUUGAUUAGAGUGGAAAAUUAAUCAAGUGACGGUAUCUAACCAGAAAGGGACGGCUAACUACGUGCCAGCAGCCGCGGUAAU